Molecule: long non-coding RNA, 1148 nt
Organism: Brassica oleracea var. oleracea
Lineage: Eukaryota; Viridiplantae; Streptophyta; Magnoliopsida; Brassicales; Brassicaceae
Exons: 5
Source: RefSeq, a predicted model, not a curated record
CCCUCAAGUUUUAUCACCGGCUCUGCUUAGACGAAAAAUGCAGGCUGGUGGUGGCAUAGACAACCAUUUGUUGUUGUGGGAUCUCACUCCUUUAGGAUUAACUGGGAAAGUCUACGAUAAGGUGUGUGAGAUGUGCCAUAUAACCUUAAACAAGACUGCUAUAUUUGGUGACAAUGGUACAAUAUCUCAUGGCGGUGGACACCAGCGAUGACAACCCGAGGCUGUAUAGAGUCUGAUUUCGAGACAAUAGUGGAUUUUCUGAGGAAGGCAGCUCAUAUAACAAGUGCGUUGCAGAGAAAAUUUGGCAAGCCGCACAAGGAGUUGUACGUGAGUUUGUGAAGAGUCUAUGCACAACAAAGACAUAUGUGAGCUUAGAAACCGUGUCAAAGUAUUUGCUUUGUAGUAUGAGAUGCAUGCUUCUAGCUAUCAUAGAUAUAUAGCAGCUGCUCAGCAAGGAGCCAAAACAAACCACCGGAGUAUUGUAUACGCAUUUACAGAAGACUUAUGACUUCUAAGUUUUGAUGCCUCUAACUUUAUAGAGUAUCAUCACCAGUGACCCAAACAGUUGCCUCUUUUGAGUCAUCUCAGGUUCUUUCACAAUAUUCUCUGACUUUUCGUUUCAUAGUUAUAGAUAAUUUGACGUAGUGUUGUUGAUACUGUUGUGACAGAUUUUGGAAGCUUGACAAUUCUUCCGGUCCGGCUAUUAUUACAACCAGACGAAUGAUCUGCACUAUGAUUAGAUUUUGGAUUCAAUUACAACGACUUAAUAGAUGAAGCAUACUCUGCGGUUAAAGAAAACAUGGCAAGAGGCAACCAAACCAAGUCAAGCGUGCCUAGGAUGGUUUGUAAUCUGGUUUAUGGAGUGAGUCCAGUGUCAGCUGCACUCUCUGUUGGGAGAUGAGAGUUCUAUGCUCUGUUGAAGAAGGUUUGGAUUUGAGCAGUAUCCAUAGGAAAAAGGAAGCCAUGAAAAGUUUCGAGAAAGUUAUCAAAUUCUCUGAAAAACUCAACUUUGAAGCAUGAUCUUAGCAUGGUUGCUGAUAAGAUUGUCCGUCUGAUCUUAAAACAAGCGCUCUCAACCCCCUUUUUGUUAUUAUAAACCACAUAAUUAAACAAACAAAUCACUCCACAACACUUCCUAUAUUUUUAAU